AUGUACCACGCGUACACUGCGGUUCCUCCGAGCCGUCUGCACCCAUCUGACGACUGCUCGUUAAAUCGCCAGUC
This 74-nucleotide small RNA is filed under the name Xanthomonas fragariae. Its description in RNAcentral is "sX9 sRNA". It matches the Rfam family "Xanthomonas sRNA sX9". Lineage: Bacteria; Pseudomonadati; Pseudomonadota; Gammaproteobacteria; Lysobacterales; Lysobacteraceae. The record is from RNAcentral.